UACGGAGGAUGCAAGCGUUAUCCGGAUUUAUUGGGUUUAAAGGGUGCGUAGGCGGGAAAAUAAGUCAGUGGUGAAAUCCUACAGCUUAACUGUAGAAUUGCCGUUGAUACUGUUUUUCUUGAGUAUGGUCAAGGAAGGCGGAAUGUGUAAUGUAGCGGUGAAAUGCUUAGAUAUUACACAGAACACCAAUUGCGAAGGCAGCUUUCUGGCCCAUUACUGACGCUGAGGCACGAAAGCGUGGGGAUCGAACAGGAUUAGAUACCCGGGUAGU
This 271-nucleotide ribosomal RNA is filed under the name uncultured prokaryote. RNAcentral describes it as "partial 16S ribosomal RNA". It matches the Rfam family "Bacterial small subunit ribosomal RNA", at positions 524 to 794 of the family's 1533-position model. The record is from RNAcentral.